AUUUAAAAACAAAACCUUUCUUUUUCAUUUCAUCUCCAGUUCUUUUUUUUUCAACAGAGAGCCUUUUUUUUUUGCUUUCUCUCAUUCCCCUUUUCUCCCCACCCCCCGGUUUCUCUCUUUUUGGCUAGGUUUUUAAGACCCAUCCUAGCCGCCGUCGUCUCGACUCCACCAUGGGUGGUGGUUAAAACCGCAAGGGACGUUUUUAGGCCCGUUUCAGAGCUAUUCAAAGGCCACGUUUCCUUUAGCCCGAAGACGAGAAGGAAGGAGAUCCUUUUACCCCCUUUGGAAUCGACUCUGUCGACGAAGAUGAGGCUCCGUCGGCGCGACUCCGGUGCGGUCCAGGUGUAGUCAGAGGCGUGGAGGGCAAAAGGUAUGGGCAAUGGUAUGGGACGCCUGUUUUGGGUGUUGUGCACCCUGAGGCCAGCACAUGGAGGCAGCGGCGCAAGGCUUGUGGAGCUAGGGUUUGAAUUGUUGAAAAGUUUUAAGAUAGUUGGGCUAGGAUUUUGACUUGGGCUUGGGCAUUGGGUUAAUGGGCUGAUCUGGUCUGUAUUUUGAUUUGUAAAAGGACUGUAUAAAUGGACAUUUUGAUUUUUUUCAAAA
Molecule: long non-coding RNA, 600 nt
Organism: Gossypium arboreum
Lineage: Eukaryota; Viridiplantae; Streptophyta; Magnoliopsida; Malvales; Malvaceae
Exons: 2
Source: RefSeq, a predicted model, not a curated record